RNAcentral lists this long non-coding RNA (320 nucleotides) under Mytilus galloprovincialis (Mediterranean mussel). Lineage: Eukaryota; Metazoa; Mollusca; Bivalvia; Mytilida; Mytilidae. The record is from RNAcentral.
UUAUGGCAGAUAUGGCUAUGAAAAGGUCUUUGUAUUAUGUUUUACAAUUGAUGCCACUUUUGUUGAUGAUAUGUUUAUAAAUACAUUAAAUAUUGUUUCAAAAUAUGCUUAUUUUGUGUAUUUUCUAUUGGUUUUCAUCCGAAAAUUUCCAAAUUACAGGUGGCGCCCCCUACGGCCAAGAUAUAUAAAUCAGAUCAAAACAUUAUAUUUAUUUACAGUAGUUAUGGUAAGGUUAACCUACAAACAAGAUUUCAUAAAGAUUGGCAAAUAUUGAUUCCGGACUAUUUUGCAUGGUUUUCUCAUGGACAGGCUCUUAAAUA